AGGGGAGCGGGAGGAGGGGGAGGAGAGAGCGGAGUAUACCGCAGACAUCAUUUCUACUACAGUGGCGGAGCCGUACAGGACCUGUUUCACUGCAGGGGGAUCCAAAAACAAGCCCCGUGGAGCAGCAGCCAGACCAACAGCAGCCGCAAGACAUUGUUUCUCUCCCUCUGUACCCCCUUCCCCACGCAACCCCAGAUCCAUUUACACUUUACAGAGCAUCGUGCAACAGCAAGUCACCAGGGUGGUUCAUUCGUGCUGCAGAUUUGCCUGCCAUCCUUGGCCCCCAGUCACCUGCUCCACUAUCACUGCGGGGAAGAGCGUCACAUGUCAGCAUCCUGGAGCCCGGGGAAGGAGUCUGCUUUGAAUCCUCCGAAGUAACGCUACUGCAGACCACAAGUAAGACAGAGGGGACGCCAGCCUGUGCGGGUGAUCGCGAAACACGGAUGUUUUUGGUCUAG
RNAcentral lists this long non-coding RNA (458 nucleotides) under Fukomys damarensis (Damara mole-rat). RNAcentral's name for it is "lncRNA (ENSFDAG00000023179.1)". The record is from RNAcentral. Lineage: Eukaryota; Metazoa; Chordata; Mammalia; Rodentia; Bathyergidae.